AACGAACGCUGGCGGCAUGCCUAACACAUGCAAGUCGAACGAAGUCUUCGGACUUAGUGGCGCACGGGUGCGUAACGCGUGGGAAUCUGCCCUUGGGUACGGAAUAACUCAGAGAAAUUUGUGCUAAUACCGUAUAAUGUCGUAAGACCAAAGAUUUAUCGCCCAAGGAUGAGCCCGCGUAAGAUUAGCUAGUUGGUAGGGUAAAAGCCUACCAAGGCGACGAUCUUUAGCUGGUCUGAGAGGAUGAUCAGCCACACUGGGACUGAGACACGGCCCAGACUCCUACGGGAGGCAGCAGUGGGGAAUAUUGGACAAUGGGCGAAAGCCUGAUCCAGCAAUGCCGCGUGAGUGAUGAAGGCCUUAGGGUUGUAAAGCUCUUUUACCAGGGAUGAUAAUGACAGUACCUGGAGAAUAAGCUCCGGCUAACUCCGUGCCAGCAGCCGCGGUAAGAGUGUGUGUA
This 460-nucleotide ribosomal RNA is filed under the name uncultured bacterium. Its description in RNAcentral is "bacterial SSU rRNA". It matches the Rfam family "Bacterial small subunit ribosomal RNA", at positions 29 to 533 of the family's 1533-position model. The record is from RNAcentral.